Molecule: ribosomal RNA, 111 nt
Filed under: Sordariomycetes sp.
Lineage: Eukaryota; Fungi; Ascomycota; Sordariomycetes
Description: partial small subunit ribosomal RNA
Rfam family: Eukaryotic small subunit ribosomal RNA
Source: RNAcentral
CGUUGAUUACGUCCCUGCCCUUUGUACACACCGCCCGUCGCUACUACCGAUUGAAUGGCUCAGUGAGGCUUUCGGACUGGCCCAGGGAGGUCGGCAACGACCACCCAGGGC